RNAcentral lists this ribosomal RNA (139 nucleotides) under uncultured bacterium. RNAcentral describes it as "partial 16S ribosomal RNA". It matches the Rfam family "Bacterial small subunit ribosomal RNA", at positions 355 to 511 of the family's 1533-position model. The record is from RNAcentral.
UAGGGAAUCUUCGGCAAUGGGCGAAAGCCUGAUCCAGCAAUGCCGCGUGUGUGAAGAAGGUCUUCGGAUUGUAAAGCACUUUCGACGGGGACGGAUGAUGACGGUACCCGUAGAAGAAGCCCGGCUAACUUCGUGCUAG